GACGAACGCUGGCGGCGUGCCUAACACAUGCAAGUCGAACGAACGGACGAGGAGCUUGCUCCUCUGGUGUUAGCGGCGGACGGGUGAGUAACACGUGGAUAACCUACCUAUAAGACUGGGAUAACUUCGGGAAACCGGGGCUAAUACCGGAUAAUAUUUUGCACCGCAUGGUGCAAUAGUGAAAGGCGGUCUUUCGUUCUGUUAUAGCUGGCUCCGCUCUGCAUUGUCUGGUUGGUAAGGUAACGGCUUAGCAACGCAACGAUGCAUAGCCGACCUGAGGGGGUGAUCGGGACCUGAGGAGCUGAGACACCGCCCAGAGACCGACGGGAGGCAGAGGCAGGGACUCUUGGGAACAGGGGGGAAGCCUGCAGGAGGAACGGGGGGCGAGUGAAGAAGGGCCGCGGGUCGUAAAACGUUGUUAGUAGGGAAGAACACAUGUGUAAGUGAAGGUGCAAAUGUGGCGGUACCCGAAGAAGAAGGCCCGGCUAACUUCGUG
RNAcentral lists this ribosomal RNA (496 nucleotides) under uncultured bacterium. RNAcentral's name for it is "partial 16S ribosomal RNA". It matches the Rfam family "Bacterial small subunit ribosomal RNA", at positions 28 to 507 of the family's 1533-position model. The record is from RNAcentral.